AAAGGUUAAGAUGUUACGCUGUUAAGUAAAGAUUAAGAUGUUAAGCUGUUAAGUAAAGGUUAAGAUGUUACG
This is a non-coding RNA of Pangasianodon gigas (Mekong giant catfish), 72 nucleotides long. Lineage: Eukaryota; Metazoa; Chordata; Actinopteri; Siluriformes; Pangasiidae. The record is from the annotation of a GenBank genome assembly.